Molecule: long non-coding RNA, 1187 nt
Filed under: Brassica napus (rape)
Lineage: Eukaryota; Viridiplantae; Streptophyta; Magnoliopsida; Brassicales; Brassicaceae
Description: long non-coding RNA (BNAP_LNC021447)
Source: RNAcentral
UAGCUUGUUGUUUUCUAUUUAAACUCUUGUAUGUUUCAUUUCAAAUCAUUUAACCCUUUUAAUAAAAUCUACUUUUAAAUUUGUUGAAUCCUUUAUUCUUUGGAACAUCGUAAGCUAGGAGAGUGAUCUCCGUAAGCACUGUCUUGUUCACUAGUGGGGUUGCCCUCACAGACUAAGACAAACCAAGCAAGUAUUUGGCCUUCCGCAGCCUUAUACUGAAGAACCUUCGAUCCACUAUCCUUUGAUUCUUCUUUUGGGUCGAAGCUUAUCCAUUUCACCAACCUUCGAGUGCAUUCCUUGGGAGAUUUUCAUCAUUUGGUAUUAGAGCACACUUGAGGGUUCAGUGUUCACUUCUGUCAUUCAUCAUUCUCAUCUUUCCAUCUUCUAGAAAAAAAAGGUACUAUGAUAAGCCAAGUGAUCAUUCCAUCUGAGGUUAAAACCGAGACUGCUCUUCUAUCUUUCGUAAUGGCUCUAGGAGACUGCUCUCUGAAAGCAACCUGUUUUGAUCACUAGUGAGGUUGCCCUCAUGGUCACAUGUUCUAAAUAUUAAGUCGGAUUUGAGGGCAAAUCCUUUUAAAUGGAGGAGGGCAUGAUGUAACCCGGAUCAGCAGCAGAAACAAAGCAUAUGACGGUUUCGCUUAUGGGUAUGUGUGUGGAGGAUUUGGGCUUAUUAUUAUGGUUUUGGCUUGUGUUUUGAUCAGGAAAAAGGUCCAGGAAGUUAUACAUCAAAGUCAUCCCAAUUUUAUGAAGUUAAAAGCCCAAGAAAGUUCAAAAACAAGUGGCUUAUUUGCAGUCCAAGAAAAGUGAUGAAAAUCAGAUAUUGGAUUGCAUGAGAAGCUUCUCUCUCUUGCAUGCAAAGAAGCAUUUAAAGUCUUUUAUGUUUCCUAAGUAUUUCUACCCUUCUCCAUGCUGUUCAUGCAAGUGUUUUUUAUUUUCUCUAAAUUAGAUGUCAUGAACCACCUGAAAGUUUAUGUAAACCGAGUCAACAUAUAUUAACACAGCUGCGUUUUCUCGUGGUGUUAAGUUAUCAUGUUUGUGUUCAUUUUGGCCGUGAACUUGCCUGGUGUUUCAUGAGUGAAGUUGGAAGGUGUAGCCUGACCACCUCCUAGAAACGACCCUAUUUCACACUCACUAGGUGAUUGCCUUGUACACAUGUCAUAAACAUGGAAAACGGCCAUUUCAUACCC